GGCGGACGGGUGAGUAACGCGUGGGUAACCUGCCCUGUACACACGGAUAACAUACCGAAAGGUAUGCUAAUACGGGAUAACAUAAGAAAGUCGCAUGGCUUUCUUAUCAAAGCUUUUACGGUACAGGAUGGACCCGCGUCUGAUUAGCUAGUUGGUAAGGUAACGGCUUACCAAGGCGACGAUCAGUAGCCGACCUGAGAGGGUGAUCGGCCACAUUGGAACUGAGACACGGUCCAAACUCCUACGGGAGGCAGCAGUGGGGAAUAUUGCACAAUGGGCGAAAGCCUGAUGCAGCAACGCCGCGUGAGCGAUGAAGGCCUUCGGGUCGUAAAGCUCUGUCCUCAAGGAAGAUAAUGACGGUACUUGAGGAGGAAGCCCCGGCUAACUACGUGCCAGCAGCCGCGGUAAUACGUAGGGGGCUAGCGUUAUCCGGAAUUACUGGGCGUAAAGGGUGCGUAGGCGGUCUUUCAAGUCAGAAGUGAAAGGCUACGGCUCAACCGUAGUAAGCUUUUGAAACUGUAAGACUUGAGUGCAGGAGAGGAGAGUGGAAUUCCUAGUGUAGCGGUGAAAUGCGUAGAUAUUAGGAGGAACACCAGUUGCGAAGGCGGCUCUCUGGACUG
RNAcentral lists this ribosomal RNA (620 nucleotides) under uncultured Clostridium sp. RNAcentral's name for it is "bacterial SSU rRNA". It matches the Rfam family "Bacterial small subunit ribosomal RNA", at positions 97 to 736 of the family's 1533-position model. The record is from RNAcentral. Lineage: Bacteria; Bacillati; Bacillota; Clostridia; Eubacteriales; Clostridiaceae.